RNAcentral lists this transfer RNA (72 nucleotides) under Nephroselmis olivacea. RNAcentral's name for it is "tRNA-Asn". It matches the Rfam family "tRNA". Rfam says of the family: Transfer RNA (tRNA) molecules are approximately 80 nucleotides in length. Lineage: Eukaryota; Viridiplantae; Chlorophyta; Nephroselmidophyceae; Nephroselmidales; Nephroselmidaceae. The record is from RNAcentral.
UCUCCAGUAGCUCAGUGGUAGAGCGAGUGGCUGUUAACCAUUAUGUCGUUGGUUCAAAUCCGACCUGGGGAG